CGCGUGGCUAGCCCCGGCAGGUCGGUUCACCGGAUCUGCCGGAGGUGAAGACAAUCGGUGAUCUACGCACGUAGAGGUCUCGCAGGAUCCAUUCGCGGACGCGGGUUCGACUCCCGCCGCCUCCACUC
RNAcentral lists this transfer-messenger RNA (128 nucleotides) under Gemmatimonadota bacterium. RNAcentral's name for it is "Gemmatimonadetes bacterium partial transfer-messenger RNA". It matches the Rfam family "transfer-messenger RNA", at positions 236 to 374 of the family's 374-position model. Rfam says of the family: Bacterial tmRNA, also known as 10Sa RNA or SsrA, is named for its dual tRNA and mRNA-like properties. Lineage: Bacteria; Pseudomonadati; Gemmatimonadota. The record is from RNAcentral.